Molecule: transfer RNA, 90 nt
Filed under: Streptomyces phage BRock
Lineage: Duplodnaviria; Heunggongvirae; Uroviricota; Caudoviricetes
Description: tRNA-Leu
Rfam family: tRNA
About the family: Transfer RNA (tRNA) molecules are approximately 80 nucleotides in length. Their secondary structure includes four short double-helical elements and three loops (D, anti-codon, and T loops).
Source: RNAcentral
GCCGGUGUGGCGGAAUUUAGGCAGACGCGCGGGGUUUAGGUUCCCGUGUCCUAGUGGCGUGCAGGUUCAAGUCCUGUCACCGGUACUUUA